This 465-nucleotide long non-coding RNA is filed under the name Mytilus galloprovincialis (Mediterranean mussel). The record is from RNAcentral. Lineage: Eukaryota; Metazoa; Mollusca; Bivalvia; Mytilida; Mytilidae.
GCCGGACUCAGGCUUUUUAACAACUACAUAUUUGUUGUGUUAUGUUUGAUGUUUGAAUUACCACAGACAGUCGGUAUUCCAAUGUAACUUUGUUGACAAAUUAAACACCCUUACUGGCCGAUAAGUAUGUGUAGUCAAAUGAUGCAGAAUAAGCACAGACAAAACAAAAAAGCACCUUGGAAAAUUAUUUUAGAAAGUGAAAGACCUGGAUGCUUCAUAUCUUGUAUGCAGAGAUACCUCAUUUUAUGAAGUUUCCGUCUGUUAUAUGUCCAUUGUUCUUGACUGCAUUUUUCGUGAUUCAGCGACUGCUUGAUAAAAAAAUAGUUCUUUUGUCAUGUGAAUUUCUCACUUAUUAUGAGUAGUAGGAAAACUAUAUAUUAUUUUUAAAAGUAUUUGGGUUCCUUGCAAAGCUUACAUUUCCAUCAGACAGGGUUUACCUGUCCUCGACCUCAUUUUAUGAAUCGG